RNAcentral lists this ribosomal RNA (708 nucleotides) under Ralstonia solanacearum. RNAcentral's name for it is "bacterial SSU rRNA". It matches the Rfam family "Bacterial small subunit ribosomal RNA", at positions 25 to 724 of the family's 1533-position model. The record is from RNAcentral. Lineage: Bacteria; Pseudomonadati; Pseudomonadota; Betaproteobacteria; Burkholderiales; Burkholderiaceae.
CAGAUUGAACGCUGGCGGCAUGCCUUACACAUGCAAGUCGAACGGCAGCGGGGGUAGCUUGCUACCUGCCGGCGAGUGGCGAACGGGUGAGUAAUACAUCGGAACGUGCCCUGUAGUGGGGGAUAACUAGUCGAAAGACUAGCUAAUACCGCAUACGACCUGAGGGUGAAAGUGGGGGACCGCAAGGCCUCAUGCUAUAGGAGCGGCCGAUGUCUGAUUAGCUAGUUGGUGGGGUAAAGGCCCACCAAGGCGACGAUCAGUAGCUGGUCUGAGAGGACGAUCAGCCACACUGGGACUGAGACACGGCCCAGACUCCUACGGGAGGCAGCAGUGGGGAAUUUUGGACAAUGGGGGCAACCCUGAUCCAGCAAUGCCGCGUGUGUGAAGAAGGCCUUCGGGUUGUAAAGCACUUUUGUCCGGAAAGAAAUCGCUUCGGUUAAUACCUGGAGUGGAUGACGGUACCGGAAGAAUAAGGACCGGCUAACUACGUGCCAGCAGCCGCGGUAAUACGUAGGGUCCAAGCGUUAAUCGGAAUUACUGGGCGUAAAGCGUGCGCAGGCGGUUGUGCAAGACCGAUGUGAAAUCCCCGGGCUUAACCUGGGAAUUGCAUUGGUGACUGCACAGCUAGAGUGUGUCAGAGGGAGGUAGAAUUCCACGUGUAGCAGUGAAAUGCGUAGAGAUGUGGAGGAAUACCGAUGGCGAAGGCAG